RNAcentral lists this ribosomal RNA (793 nucleotides) under uncultured bacterium. RNAcentral's name for it is "bacterial SSU rRNA". It matches the Rfam family "Bacterial small subunit ribosomal RNA", at positions 667 to 1461 of the family's 1533-position model. The record is from RNAcentral.
UNCCACGUGUAGCAGUGAAAUGCGUAGAGAUGUGGAGGAAUACCGAUGGCGAAGGCAGCCUCCUGGGAUAACACUGACGUUCAUGCUCGAAAGCGUGGGUAGCAAACAGGAUUAGAUACCCUGGUAGUNCACGCCCUAAACGAUGUCAAUUAGCUGUUGGGCAACUUGAUUGUUCAGUAGCGUAGCUAACGCGUGAAAUUGACCGCCUGGGGAGUACGGUCGCAAGAUUAAAACUCAAAGGAAUUGACGGGGACCCGCACAAGCGGUGGAUGAUGUGGAUUAAUUCGAUGCAACGCGAAGAACCUUACCUGGUCUUGACAUGUACGGAAUCCUCCAGAGACGGAGGAGUGCCUUCGGGAGCCGUAACACAGGUGCUGCAUGGCUGUCGUCAGCUCGUGUCGUGAGAUGUUGGGUUAAGUCCCGCAACGAGCGCAACCCUUGUCAUUAGUUGCCAUCAUUCAGUUGGGCACUCUAAUGAGACUGCCGGUGACAAGCCGGAGGAAGGUGGGGAUGACGUCAAGUCCUCAUGGCCCUUAUGACCAGGGCUUCACACGUCAUACAAUGGUCGGUACAGAGGGUAGCCAAGCCGCGAGGUGGAGCCAAUCUCACAAAACCGAUCGUAGUCCGGAUUGCACUCUGCAACUCGAGUGCAUGAAGUCGGAAUCGCUAGUAAUCGCAGGUCAGCAUACUGCGGUGAAUACGUUCCCGGGUCUUGUACACACCGCCCGUCACACCAUGGGAGUGGGGGAUACCAGAAGUAGGUAGGAUAACCGCAAGGGNUCCGCUUACCACG